Galeopterus variegatus (Sunda flying lemur) is the source of this 945-nucleotide long non-coding RNA. RefSeq lists it as uncharacterized. The record is from RefSeq and is a predicted model, not a curated record. NCBI's taxonomy places the organism in Eukaryota, Metazoa, Chordata, Mammalia, Dermoptera, Cynocephalidae. The transcript has 2 exons.
CCCCACCGCUCGCGGCUGCGAACGUCUUUUCUGAUGGGGUCCGCAGUUCUUACUGUGGGGCCUGUGUUGGUGGCGCCUGACUUCUCUGCCUGGCCCAGUUCUGUCCCCGGAGAGCUGCAAGGUGGAAGGUCUCCACGUAGACUGUACUGGGCCCCCUCCCUCUCCUCUCGAAGGCCUAGACUGGCCUGGCACUCCCGCGGGACUGCGGGGGGCGGGAACGUGGCCCUGCGCUCCAGAGCCCGCCUCAGUGCCUCCCACGUUGCUGAUGGCUACAGAGCCGCCGCCUACUAGGACCUCCAGGUGCUGAGGACCAGUGUUAGGCGGGGUCCCCCAUGUUGCUUGUAACUGACCUGGGCUUAAACGGUUUAUUGUCUAUUUCUCCAGCUAGAAUGUAAAGUCCCUGAGGACAGGACCUUGCCAUUAAAGCACUCACAGGGUGGGGCUUCUGCCUACUGGACUUACGAGAGGUGGUUCAGCCAUUCCUGAUAUUUGAGACCCCUCCUGCCCCAGGUGUGGAUGUCAUCUUUCAUUUCUCUGCCUUACCUGCUACCCUGGAAUGCAGCAAUUGCCUGGGCCCUUGGUGGCCUUCUCUACUGGCCUGUGAACCACCUGAAGGCACAAAUGGGGGCUUAGUCAUCUCCACAGCCCAACACUCAGUUCAGUGCUGGGUGCUCCAAGAAUGUGUGUUGAGUGAAUGAAUAAAUGAAGCUUCAACCUGUGCUCGUUACCCUCCACACACAGGAGCAUGCAUGAUGCAGCUUGAAGGACAAGCAAGAGAUCUUAUGGGACAAAUCAGUGUGGUUCAGCAAAUGUUCAUCGACAAGUGACACUGAACUGCCAUUCAGAAAGGCUGCACCUGUUUGCCUGCUGACCAGUAUUGGAGAGGGCCGAUUUCCCUGUGCUCUUAUCAAGGAUUUUAAUUAUUAAAAAUCUCCCUUGAUCUGA